CUGCAGAAUCCUCCUUGCCGCUAGGCGCUAUCAUAACACAAGCCUAUCAGAAUGGCUAUACAGAUGUGACAUCAUCAAAUGCUACCGAGGAAGUGGAAGGUAUGAAGAUACAACCACCCUGGAAAAUGGAAUGAUGUUUCCUUAUAAAAUCAAACAUGUAAUUUACCAUACAACCUAGUGAUUGCACUCUUGGGCACUUAUCCCACAGAAAUUACAACAUGAAUGUUCAGGGCAGCUUUAUUUGUAAUAGCAGACAACUGGAAACAAUCUAGAUGUCCUUCAGUGGGUGAAUGGUUAAAUGAACUGUGGAAUAUCCACGCCAUGGACUAUUCUUCAGCAAAAAGGAAUAAACAACUGAUAUAAGCAACAACUUGAAUGAAUCCCAAGCAUAUUAUGCUGAGUGAACAAAAAGCAAUUCCAAAGAGUAUCAUUGUCUGAUUCUACUUUUGUAACAUUCUUGAAGCGACCUAAUUUUCAGGAUGGAGAAUAGAUUAGUAGUUGCCAGAGACAGGGUGGCAUACUUAAGGGAAAAAGUAAUAAUAUGGGCAAGAGGGAAGUAGGUAUGAUUAUAAAAUGCUAACAAGAGGGACCCAGUGUGUGGCAAUGGAAUACUUUAGCAUUUUGUGUUUGUUUUGUUUUUUGAGACAGGGUCUCGAUAUGUAGUCCAGGCUGGCCUUGACCUCAUAGCGAUCCUCCUGCCUCAUCCUCCCAAGUCCUGGGAUUACAGGUCUAGGUUCCAGCAUUGCUCUUCCAAAAAGCCUUUCUGCAUAGUAUCCCCGGGUCUUGCACUGGCUCCUCACCAGGUCAGUAAAACAUGUUUACACAUUGCCCACCAGUUUUAUAAGCCUAUUUACUUUCCAUUUCUGCCUUUAGGCCAAGCCUCCUGAAGUCACUGAGUGGUUUGCAUCCCUGACCCCCUCUAUGGCUGAGAAGAGCUGCCCUGAUAAAGGCCUGCUGAUGCUUUUGAGGCUUGUCAACACUGGAGCUUCUCAAACAAUGUCUUAAAUCUAGUAAGAUGGUAAAGCAACCAAGUGCUCCCCCAAGUCCACCAUCUUUGGAAAGACUAACCGACAAGGACCUUCAAAGAACUGCAACUUGGAGAGAGAGUGGCUGGGUUUCAAUUUUGCUAGUUAACCUCUGUGUGACCUCGGGAAAAUCACCUUCUGAGUUUCUACUUCUAUUAAAUGACAAUUAGGAGCUCUAGCUUCCUUGCAUUUAACCAUAUCGGAACACUGACCUAGGAUUCUCAAGGUUGCAAAAGAAGUUUAUUAUCUGUCUCACUGACUCUAGAAAGUAUUGUUCCAUUUCCCAGAGGGGAAGCUGAGACUGAGAGAGGUAGAAGGGCUUGCAAGUAAGUACUGAGUGGCACUACAGCAAGUUAGUGGCUAAUGGAGGAAUUAUACUGGGCAUAUGGUUAAAUCCAUGGUCCUCCUCAACCUAGUUCCUGCUUCCACAGAGGGGCUAUAACCAGUCUCCUCACAGCCACAGUGCACUUUGCAGACAAGGCUGCCUCUGUAUAGGAGGCCCACUCAGGAGUCAGUCCUUUAACAGCUCUGCUGGAAUAGGCUUAGCUUUGCACUGUGCAUUAACCUGGAAAAUUAAUCAGUAUAAGAGUCCAUUAUUCAGAGACCUCCACCUACUGACUUUUAAAAAUACAUUCUUGGGCUGGGGAUUUAGCUCAGUGGUUUCUCCGCCUGCUGUGCAAGUGCAAGGACCCGAGUUCGAUCCCUGGUAUCAAAAAAAAACACACAAAACAUUCUUAAGGUGGGCUAGUGAAUAAGGUACCCAGAGUAAUCAAAUUCACAGAGCUUUCAGGGGCUAGAGGAGUGGGGAAUGGGGAGUUAGUGUUUACUGUGUACAGAUUCUUCUGGGAUGAUGUAAAGUUCUAGAGAUAAGAUGGUGAUGGUUGCUAAACAAUGAGAAUAUACUUAAUGCCACUGACCUGUAAUCUUAAGUGGUAAAUUUUAUUAUGUGUAUUUUACUAAAAUACCCUAAAACUUCAAAAUAAAAGGAAAGGAAUGUAUUAUAAACUUAUUUAUGAUAUACAAAACAGAAAAGUCAUUUUAAUCUUAUUGCCCUAAUGGCAAAAAGUUUUAAUGGCAAUCAUUUUGGAAUGGUAACCUUUCUAAGAAAAAAUAGUAACUUCUGCUUUGCUCUUUUUUUUUUUGGUUUUUUGAGGCAGGGUCUCCUUUUGUAGUUCAGGCUGGCCCUGAACUAUGUAGCCCAGGCUGGCCUCUAACUCACAGCAAUCCUCCUGCCUCAGCCUCCGGAGUGCUGGGAUCAUAGGCGUGCACCACCACACCCAGCUGCUUUACUCUUCUUAAACACAGGCAAUGUGGUAGAACAGAAAGAACAGUGAACCAGAAUUUCAAAUCUUCAAUAAGCUGUGUAGCUGGGUGACCUUGGGCAAGUCAGUUUACUUCUCUUUGUUGUUGUUGUUGGUACCGGGGAUUGAACUUGGUCAGGACCUUGCGCUUUCGAGGCAGGCAG
This is a non-coding RNA of Heterocephalus glaber (naked mole-rat), 2490 nucleotides long. Lineage: Eukaryota; Metazoa; Chordata; Mammalia; Rodentia; Bathyergidae. The record is from RefSeq and is a predicted model, not a curated record.